GGCGUGUGUGUGUGUGUGUGUGUGUGUGUGUGUGUAACACAUCCUGCUCUCACAAAGGCAUGCGUCCUCAC
RNAcentral lists this microRNA precursor (71 nucleotides) under Sorex araneus (European shrew). Its description in RNAcentral is "miRNA (ENSSARG00000016939.1)". Lineage: Eukaryota; Metazoa; Chordata; Mammalia; Eulipotyphla; Soricidae. The record is from RNAcentral.